UAGUCAACACCCCAAUAGUAGCAUACACUAUUCACUUCAGGCAGUUCGAAAUCUGAUAUCUUUCGCUGGAGCCCUCUGAAUAUCCGUUUGAGCUCAAAUUUGACAGUCAUGUUCGGUUUUGCUUAACUUAAUGAAAGAAAUUUUAAUAUUUCAGUUUCGACCCCGUUUGGUCAUCGAAAGCCGUACCGAACUAUAAUCUUUAUCAGAUCACUAUCGGAUUUUAUUUUUCACCUUCCGAGUGUCAGAAUGAUAUGAAACUUUAAAUCUAGCAUCAUAAAAAUAAUUCUGACAUAUCCUCCAGUUUUCAUAAUUUUCUGACACUGUACAUUUUCUGCUAAUUUAUCUGCCCCGUCUCUCACAGAAAAUUCUAAACCUUCUGUUUUCGCUCCGAUUUCAGCACAGGUCAUUCCCAACCUAUAUUUCACUUCUCUAAAUCCAAUAAAAAUAGUAUCUCAUACUAUUUUUAUUUAUUUUCACUUUUAUAUUUAAUAUCUAGUAUGUUACAUUCUGCCGCAACCUCACCGGAACC
RNAcentral lists this long non-coding RNA (529 nucleotides) under Ananas comosus (pineapple). Its description in RNAcentral is "long non-coding RNA (ACOM_LNC023287)". Lineage: Eukaryota; Viridiplantae; Streptophyta; Magnoliopsida; Poales; Bromeliaceae. The record is from RNAcentral.